UGACCGAGCAACGCCGCGUGAGUGAAGAAGGUUUUCGGAUCGUAAAACUCUGUUGUUAGAGAAGAACAAGGAUGAGAAUAAAACGUUCAUCCCUUGACGGUAUCUAACCAGAAAGCCACGGCUAACUACGUGCCAGCAGCCGCGGUAAUACGUAGGUGGCAAGCGUUGUCCGGAUUUAUUGGGCGUAAAGCGAGCGCAGGCGGUUUCUUAAGUCUGAUGUGAAAGCCCCCGGCUCAACCGGGGAGGGUCAUUGGAAACUGGGGAACUUGAGUGCAGAAGAGGAGAGUGGAAUUCCAUGUGUAGCGGUGAAAUGCGUAGAUAUAUGGAGGAACACCAGUGG
This 340-nucleotide ribosomal RNA is filed under the name Enterococcus dongliensis. Its description in RNAcentral is "bacterial SSU rRNA". It matches the Rfam family "Bacterial small subunit ribosomal RNA", at positions 384 to 715 of the family's 1533-position model. The record is from RNAcentral. Lineage: Bacteria; Bacillati; Bacillota; Bacilli; Lactobacillales; Enterococcaceae.